This 200-nucleotide ribosomal RNA is filed under the name uncultured bacterium. RNAcentral's name for it is "partial 16S ribosomal RNA". It matches the Rfam family "Bacterial small subunit ribosomal RNA", at positions 8 to 199 of the family's 1533-position model. The record is from RNAcentral.
AGAGUUUGAUCAUGGCUCAGGGUUAACGCUGGCGGCGUGCCUAACACAUGCAAGUCGAGCGGGGGCUGGACACUCGCAAGGGUGUCUGGUACCUAGCGGCAAACGGGUGAGUAACACGUGGGCAACCUGUCCUCUUGUGGGGGAUAACACCGAGAAAUCGGUGCUAAUACCGCAUGACAUCGUUGGUGGCAUCAUUGGCG